Long non-coding RNA from Suricata suricatta (meerkat), 607 nucleotides. RefSeq lists it as uncharacterized. The transcript is spliced from 6 exons. The record is from RefSeq and is a predicted model, not a curated record. Lineage: Eukaryota; Metazoa; Chordata; Mammalia; Carnivora; Herpestidae.
UUCAGAAGGCUCCAGGGCCCUUGAUAAAUUCCUUCUCUGGCUCCAAUUCCAAGAGCGAUCAGAAGGGAGAUAGAGGAAAACUGUUGAGAGAAGAGGAAUUUGGAGAAACAUUUUUUGGCCAAGGCCAAAGUCUUCACAGAGCGUGGCCCUUCGGCCUCACAGUCCUGUCUCCUAAUGAGGACACCAGUCACUGGAUGAGGGGCCACCUCGAUCACUAUGAUGUCCUUUUAAUUGGAUUACAUCUGCCAGGACCCUGUUUCCAAAUAAGGCCCGUUGUUGCCACCGCUUUGGGAAAACGAUGACAGAACGAGGAAUUGAGGAAUCUCGAAGGAGAAGGUGCCCGGCCUGAAUGGCUGUCUCCAGCUCAGUCGCCUUAGGCCCACCCCACUCUGCUGUUCCUGCCGGAUGGAGGAGACUUGGCAAGUGAGGACCUGAAACCAACAUUGGAAACCGACAAUAGGUUUCCAUUUGGACCUGGGACAUCUCUACGGAGAUGACACGCUACACUGCACGUCCCGUCUGUCUUCACUGAAGCACGCUCUCGGUAAUUUCAUUGUGGGGUUUUCCAUUAAAAAGUUUGAUUAAUUCCAUAAAUAUUAAAAUAAGA